This 200-nucleotide ribosomal RNA is filed under the name uncultured bacterium. RNAcentral's name for it is "partial 16S ribosomal RNA". It matches the Rfam family "Bacterial small subunit ribosomal RNA", at positions 30 to 230 of the family's 1533-position model. The record is from RNAcentral.
AUUGAACGCUGGCGGCACGCCUAACACAUGCAAGUCGAACGGCAGCGCGGGGGCAACCCUGGCGGCGAGUGGCGGACGGGUGAGGAAUGCAUCGGAAUCUGCCUGGUUGUGGGGGAUAACGUAGGGAAACUUACGCUAAUACCGCAUACGACCUACGGGUGAAAGUGGGGGACCGCAAGGCCUCACGCGAUCAGAGGAGC